This 250-nucleotide ribosomal RNA is filed under the name uncultured bacterium. Its description in RNAcentral is "partial 16S ribosomal RNA". It matches the Rfam family "Bacterial small subunit ribosomal RNA", at positions 524 to 775 of the family's 1533-position model. The record is from RNAcentral.
UACGGAGGGAGCUAGCCGUUGUUCGGAAUUACUGGGCGUAAAGCGCGCGUAGGCGGCUUUGUAAGUUAGAGGUGAAAGCCCGGGCUCAACCCCGGAAUGCCUUUAAGACUGCAUCGCUUGAAUCCGGGAGAGGUGAGUGGAAUUCCGAGUGUAGAGGUGAAAUUCGUAGAUAUUCGGAAGAACACCAGUGGCGAAGGCGGCUCACUGGACCGGCAUUGACGCUGAGGUGCGAAGCGUGGGGAGCAACAGG